Long non-coding RNA from Mesocricetus auratus (golden hamster), 893 nucleotides. RefSeq lists it as uncharacterized. The record is from RefSeq and is a predicted model, not a curated record. NCBI's taxonomy places the organism in Eukaryota, Metazoa, Chordata, Mammalia, Rodentia, Cricetidae. The transcript is spliced from 3 exons.
GUCACGUGGCCCGCCUCCGCGGCUUAAGCGACAGAAGGGACGUCCUCUCGCGCGUACAGUGGCGCCAAACCUUAAGCCGGAGCCCGAGCCUUUCCUGGGGUCUGAUCCGGCCGUGAGGUCCCCCCCAAGCUCUGCUGGCUUUGCAGACGCGAGCGGGGCGGAACUCUGUUUUCGCGUGGAACUAGGAAAGGGUGGAAGCCCGGGGCCCGCUGAGCUCUAUUUGCACGCGCGCGAGAGAAGCGGGCGAGUCCCGAGCGCGCUGUGCCCGCUCGGCUCGGCUGCCACCGCGGUCUCUGUGCCUGGCCAUUUGCACGCCCCUUUGAAGGGCUCCCCGAAACCCGCCGUUGACCUCCUCUCACAGCCGUCACUGUGGCGAAGCGUUCAGGGAACGAAGAGACGCAGAGUAAUUCGAAACAUCCAAGAUUCUUCGGGAACUGUCAGGGUUGGGCGGGUCCCAGCGGAGCUCCUUCCCGGGAGACAGAAGACCUGGGAAACUCCUGAGGCGGUCGUUGCCGCUUCCGGGACCGUCUUCCUGACGAAGUUCCCAAAGAAAGGGCAGAAGUUGGAAAAAGGAAGCCUUGAGGGAGAAGCGAAACUUCCUUGUGAUGAGAAGUCAAGCUCUUGAGAAGUGACUGCUGUUGUGGCCUAGCAUCCUGACUCUUAGCUGUACCCUGAUUAUGAGCCGGCAUGAAGGAAAAUAAUAAAGCAACGACCAAAGCUUUGGCAAUCAGGCAUCUACUUCCAUGUCCCAUUGUUAAAGACGACGCAAGGGGCUCGUUCUGGUGGCACACGCCUUUAAUCACAGCAUUCAGGAGACGGAGACAGGUGGAUCUCUAUGAGAUGGAGACCUUCAUGAGCCAUACAACACAAACUAAAUAAACUUGUAAACACGA